UGCGUCAAGGGGAGGCAGAGGUGGGGGGGAGAAGUGCGCAGAUUUAAGAUAGACUUUUGAAGGCAGAGGCGACAGGACUUCCUAAUAGAUUGGUUAUGGAGUGAGCAAGCAAGAAGUCAAGGAUAACAUCAAGAUAUCUGUCCCCAGCACCUGGAAGGAUGGAACUGCCAUCUGCAGACAUGGAGACGACGUGGGAGCAGCAGGGCUGGGGACCAGGAACAGUUUCGACCUAAUGAACAUCCGCCUGGAGAUGUCAGUUUCAGAAAUCUGGGGUGCUCAGCUGGGUCCUCUGCUUCAGGGUCUCCCACAGGCUGCAAUCAAGGUGUUGUGCUGGGCUGGGGUCUCAUCUGAAGGCUCGACUGAGGCAGGAUCUGCUUCCAAGCCUAUGUGGUUGCUGGUAGACUUCAGUUCCUCGCUGGCUGUUGGCUGGAGGCUGCCCCAUCCCAUUCCUUGCUCUGAGGGUCUCUCCGAAGGGCAGUGGAGCAGUUGAGUUACAUUUCUCUCACCACCACCACCACCCCCACAUUGGAUCACACUCUCUCUGGAGGAAGCCAGCUGCCAUGUCAUGAGCAGCCCUAUGGCGAGGUCCACGUGGUGAGGAACUGAGGCCUCCGGCCAACAGCCAUGGGAGGGAACCAGCUUGGAAGCAGCUCCUCCAGCCCCAGUCGAGCCUUCAGACGAGGCAGCCCUGGCUGAUGUCUUGACUGUGACCUCCUGAGGGACCCUGAGCCAGAACCCCUCAGCUAAUUUACUCCUGGAUUCCUGACCCAUAGAAACUGGGUGAAAUAAUAGAUGUGUAGUGUUUUAAGCAGCUAAAUUUUGGGGUGGGGGGUUAAUUUGUUAUGCAGCAACAGCUAACUGAUAUGCCCUGGGUGUCACUUAGCCUAUUCCCCCUGGAUGAACACCUACAUGACAGCCUGGGCUCAGCCAUCCCAAGCACAACCCUAUUCUUCUCAGGUAGAAUCUGUUUUGCACGGGUGCACAUUCUAAAUGUUUAAUGACUCUGAGUUAAAUUUAUUUAUGUACUUUUUUUUUUUCAUGCGCUGCAAGGCUUGAGGGAUCUUAGUUCCCCAACCAGGGAUCAAACCCAGGCCCCAGCAGUGAAAGCGCCAAGUCCUAACCACUGGACCGCCAGGGAAUUCCCUGACUUUGAGUUAAAUUUAAAAGCUUAAAUUGGACUAUCGCAAAUAACAACUUGAAUAACAAUACAUUCAAAUUGAAGCCACCACACAGGACAGGGAAUUGGGAUAGUAUAGUGGUUAAGAGACCAGCCUGAGAGCCUGGGUUCAAUUACUGCUGUGCAGCCUCGGGGAGGUCACUUAACCUCUCUGGGCUUCAGUUUACUGGCUUAUAAAGUGGGGCCAUUAAUAGGACAUACCUCACAAGGCUGUGGCAGGUUGAGUUAUGUCGUGUAAAAUGUUGAGGCUAGUGUUGUCCGAGAGAACUUCCCAAGUGAUGGAUGUGUGACUCCUGAGCCCUUGAAAUGUGGCUUAGUGUGACUGAGGAAGUGAAGUAAUAAUUUGAUAAAUGGAUUGAAAUGUAAAUAGCCACAGGUGGCUAGUAGCUACUAUAUUGGAUGACACAGGCUUGAAACAAUGCUUGGCAAAUAGUAAGUGCUUAAUAAAUGCUUGGUAGGAAUAUUACUCUGCCCAUGUUCUCCAGAGUGCCAACUUACACCCCACCAGCAGCACAGAGGUCACCCAGGUAUCCUCGUAACACCCCAACCUGAUCACACCCCUCCCUUGCUCAAAAUCCUCUGUAGCUCCGAACUGACAUCAAGAUAAUGUCCCAGGGACUUCCCUGGCGGUCCAGUGGUUAGGACUCCACGCUUCCACUGCAGGGGGCACGGGUUCGAUCCCUGGUCGGGGAACUAAGAUCCCGCAUGCCACGGGGCACGGCCAAAUAAAAUAAAAUAAAAUAAAAAUUCUCCCAGAUUUGCUGGUCUCAUUGUGAUUACAACUUUUAGCGUACUUGAGAAUUACUUUCUCUUGUGGGGAUAGGGUACUUUUGAUUUUUUGUCCAAAAGUACUUUCUCCUUGAUUGAAACCUUGGGUGGGCGGGGACAAGGUCCGGCACACAGAAGGUGCUCAGUCGCAAAAGAACCUCUGUAACCCAGCCCCUGUCAUCUCUGCAUCCAUCUCUUCACCCAGUGCUGUGGUCUUAGCCAAUGAUCCAAUGACCACAACAUGCCAAGCCUCUGAGCCUUUGCCCAGGCUGUUCCUUCCACCUGGAAAACCCUUCCAGGUGGACUCAGACUCACCUUUCCAGCUCCCACUCCAGAUGGGCCUCGUUCUCUCUGCUGGAGCUGGAGCAAAGCACUUCCUGUCUCUGAGCCUCAGUCUCCUCAACUGUAAAAUGGGAUGAGUCCUUGGUAAGAUUAAAAGACAUCGUUUCUGCAAAGCCCCUGGCAGGAUAUUAAGUAGCUCAUUAAAUCGAGUGGUUAGUACCCCUCCCAUGGAUUUGGAAAGGCUCAGUUUUGGUGUGGCCAUCCCCCCUACUCACACCCCUACUCCAGGAUUUUACCCUGGAGCCCAUGGUUCCCCAUCCCAGCUCUCAGGAAUUUUUUUCUUUAGGACCUUUGAGGCUUUCACUGGGGUGGGGCAGGGGCCUCAAACUGCUUUGUUUUUUCAGCCAAAGCCACAUCAUCUCUUAGAUCUU
This is a long non-coding RNA of Globicephala melas (long-finned pilot whale), 2658 nucleotides long. RefSeq lists it as uncharacterized. The record is from RefSeq and is a predicted model, not a curated record. NCBI's taxonomy places the organism in Eukaryota, Metazoa, Chordata, Mammalia, Artiodactyla, Delphinidae.